UAAAAUAUGCCAACUGUGUGCGUAACCGUGACUGUCUCUUUCGUGAGUUCCUUCUCAGAUCGAGAACACGGUGGGGUUAUGUCUGACGUAGGUAGGUGUUUAGGAUCAUUCAUUUGAUCAUGGGUAGUUCACGUCCGUUAUGCGUAGAUCUUUCCCCCUCUUAUUUCUUGUACUCGUAAGUUAGCCACCAAAUAUAUGCUUAGCCGCUGCUGCUACCUCACCACUUAACCAUA
RNAcentral lists this long non-coding RNA (233 nucleotides) under Hordeum vulgare. Its description in RNAcentral is "long non-coding RNA (HVUL_LNC017105)". Lineage: Eukaryota; Viridiplantae; Streptophyta; Magnoliopsida; Poales; Poaceae. The record is from RNAcentral.